UACGUAGGUGGCGAGCGUUGUCCGGAUUUACUGGGCGUAAAGAGCGCGCAGGCGGUCGUGCAAGACGCGUGUGAAAGCCCCCGGCUCAACUGGGGAGGGUCACUUGAUACUGGUCGACUCGAAGGCAGGAGAGGGAGGUGGAAUUCCCGGUGUAGUGGUGAAAUGCGUAGAUAUCGGGAGGAACACCAGUGGCGAAGGCGACUUCCUGGCCUGUUCUUGACGCUGAGGCGCGAAAGCUAGGGGAGCAAACGGG
This 253-nucleotide ribosomal RNA is filed under the name uncultured bacterium. RNAcentral describes it as "partial 16S ribosomal RNA". It matches the Rfam family "Bacterial small subunit ribosomal RNA", at positions 524 to 776 of the family's 1533-position model. The record is from RNAcentral.